This 253-nucleotide ribosomal RNA is filed under the name uncultured bacterium. Its description in RNAcentral is "partial 16S ribosomal RNA". It matches the Rfam family "Bacterial small subunit ribosomal RNA", at positions 524 to 776 of the family's 1533-position model. The record is from RNAcentral.
UACGAAGGGGGCUAGCGUUGUUCGGAAUCACUGGGCGUAAAGCGCACGUAGGCGGUUCUUUAAGUCAGGGGUGAAAUCCCGAGGCUCAACCUCGGAACUGCCUUUGAUACUGGGGAUCUCGAGUCCGGGAGAGGUGAGUGGAACUGCGAGUGUAGAGGUGAAAUUCGUAGAUAUUCGCAAGAACACCAGUGGCGAAGGCGGCUCACUGGCCCGGUACUGACGCUGAGGUGCGAAAGCGUGGGGAGCAAACAGG